GACGAACGCGGCGGCGUGCCUAAUACAUGCAAGUCGAACGCUUCUUUCCUCCCGAGUGCUUGCGCUCAAUUGGAAAGAGGAGUGGCGGACGGGUGAGUAACACGUGGGUAACCUACCCAUCAGAGGGGGAUAACACUUGGAAACAGGUGCUAAUACCGCAUAACAGUUUAUGCCGCAUGGCAUAAGAGUGAAAGGCGCUUUCGGGUGUCGCUGAUGGAUGGACCCGCGGUGCAUUAGCUAGUUGGUGAGGUAACGGCUCACCAAGGCCACGAUGCAUAGCCGACCUGAGAGGGUGAUCGGCCACACUGGGACUGAGACACGGCCCAGACUCCUACGGGAGGCAGCAGUAGGGAAUCUUCGGCAAUGGACGAAAGUCUGACCGAGCAACGCCGCGUGAGUGAAGAAGGUUUUCGGAUCGUAAAACUCUGU
Molecule: ribosomal RNA, 429 nt
Filed under: Enterococcus faecalis
Lineage: Bacteria; Bacillati; Bacillota; Bacilli; Lactobacillales; Enterococcaceae
Description: bacterial SSU rRNA
Rfam family: Bacterial small subunit ribosomal RNA
Source: RNAcentral